CAAUUCUGGUUGAUCCUGCCAGAGACCGCUGCUAUCCGGCUGGGACUAAGCCAUGCGAGUCAAGGGGCUUGCCGCAAGGCAAGCACCGGCGGACGGCUCAGUAACACGUGGACAACCUGCCCUCGGGAGGGGGAUAACCCCGGGAAACUGGGGCUAAACCCCCAUAGGAGAUGGAUACUGGAAGGUUCCAUCUCCGAAAGUCCGCAAGGAGCCCGAGGAUGGGUCUGCGGCGGAUUAGGUAGUUGGUGGGGUAACGGCCCACCAAGCCGAAGAUCCGUACGGGCCAUGGGAGUGGGAGCCCGGAGAUGGACCCUGAGACAAGGGUCCAGGCCCUACGGGGCGCAGCAGGCGCGAAACCUUCGCAAUGCGGGAAACCGCGACGAGGUCAGCCGGAGUGCCGGUGCUCGCAUCGGCUGUCGGGGAGUCUAAAAAGCUCCCCAUAGCAAGGGCCGGGCAAGGCCGGUGGCAGCCGCCGCGGUAAUACCGGCGGCCUGAGUGGCGGUCACUAUUAUUGGGCUUAAAGCGUCCGUAGCCGGGUUGGUAAGUCUCCCGGGAAAUCUGGCCGCUUAACGGUCAGAAUUCCGGGAGAUACUGCCAGCCUAGGGACCGGGAGAGGCCGAGGGUAUUCCCGGAGUAGGGGUGAAAUCCUAUAAUCCCGGGAGGACCAC
RNAcentral lists this ribosomal RNA (668 nucleotides) under Archaeoglobales archaeon. RNAcentral describes it as "bacterial SSU rRNA". It matches the Rfam family "Archaeal small subunit ribosomal RNA", at positions 1 to 660 of the family's 1478-position model. Lineage: Archaea; Methanobacteriati; Methanobacteriota; Archaeoglobi; Archaeoglobales. The record is from RNAcentral.